AUGUCAGCGGUUCGAGUCCGCUUAUAUCCAGCUCGUGAACUUAGAGGAUACUAUGACAGCGAUAGCACCGAAUUUUGCCAAUUCGGUAAUUCGAUCUAUGAUUUCACAUUCAUGGACGUUGAUAAGAUCCUUCCAUUCAGUAGCACCUUUGGAUGGCAUAGCCUUAACGUUAAUGUUGAGGUUCAAAAGAGGAAAUGCUUGUGGUGGAUACCUAGGCCAGAGACGAGGAAGGGCGUAGCAAGCGACGAAAUGCUUCGGGGAAUUGAAAAUAAGCAUAGAUUCGAAGAUUCCCGAAUAGGUCAACCUUUUAAACUGCUUGUUCAAUCCAUGAGCAGGCAAGAGACAACCUCGUGAGCUGAAACAUCUUAA
This 369-nucleotide ribosomal RNA is filed under the name Triticum aestivum (bread wheat). RNAcentral describes it as "partial small subunit ribosomal RNA". The stretch from base 181 to 369 matches the Rfam family "Bacterial large subunit ribosomal RNA", at positions 1 to 206 of the family's 2925-position model. The record is from RNAcentral. Lineage: Eukaryota; Viridiplantae; Streptophyta; Magnoliopsida; Poales; Poaceae.